UUAGUACCCGGAGGAAGAGAAAGAAAAUUCGAUUCCCUUAGUAGCGGCGAGCGAAACGGGAAGAGCCCAAACCAACAAGCUUGCUUGUUGGGGUUGUAGGACACUCUAUACGGAGUUACAAAGGACGACAUUAGACGAAUCAUCUGGAAAGAUGAAUCAAAGAAGGUAAUAAUCCUGUAGUCGAAAAUGUUGUCUCUCUUGAGUGGAUCCUGAGUACGACGGAGCACGUGAAAUUCCGUCGGAAUCUGGGAGGACCAUCUCCUAAGGCUAAAUACUCUCUAGUGACCGAUAGUGAACCAGUACCGUGAGGGAAAGGUGAAAAGCACCCCGGAAGGGGAGUGAAAUAGAACCUGAAACCGUGUGCUUACAAGUAGUCAGAGCCCGUUAAUGGGUGAUGGCGUGCCUUUUGUAGAAUGAACCGGCGAGUUACGAUUUGAUGCAAGGUUAAGCAGUAAAUGUGGAGCCGUAGCGAAAGCGAGUCUGAAUAGGGCGUUUAGUAUUUGGUCGUAGACCCGAAACCAGGUGAUCUACCCUUGGUCAGGUUGAAGUUCAGGUAACACUGAAUGGAGGACCGAACCGACUUACGUUGAAAAGUGAGCGGAUGAACUGAGGGUAGCGGAGAAAUUCCAAUCGAACCUGGAGAUAGCUGGUUCUCUCCGAAAUAGCUUUAGGGCUAGCCUCAAGUGAUGAUUAUUGGAGGUAGAGCACUGUUUGGACGAGGGGCCCCUCUCGGGUUACCGAAUUCAGACAAACUCCGAAUGCCAAUUAAUUUAACUUGGGAGUCAGAACAUGGGUGAUAAGGUCCGUGUUCGAAAGGGAAACAGCCCAGACCACCAGCUAAGGUCCCAAAAUAUAUGUUAAGUGGAAAAGGAUGUGGCGUUGCCCAGACAACUAGGAUGUUGGCUUAGAAGCAGCCAUCAUUUAAAGAGUGCGUAAUAGCUCACUAGUCGAGUGACACUGCGCCGAAAAUGUACCGGGGCUAAACAUAUUACCGAAGCUGUGGAUUGUCCUUUGGACAAUGGUAGGAGAGCGUUCUAAGGGCGUUGAAGCAUGAUCGUAAGGACAUGUGGAGCGCUUAGAAGUGAGAAUGCCGGUGUGAGUAGCGAAAGAUGGGUGAGAAUCCCGUCCACCGAUUGACUAAGGUUUCCAGAGGAAGGCUCGUCCGCUCUGGGUUAGUCGGGUCCUAAGCUGAGGCCGACAGGCGUAGGCGAUGGAUAACAGGUUGAUAUUCCUGUACCACCUAUAAUCGUUUUAAUCGAUGGGGGGACGCAGUAGGAUAGGCGAAGCGUGCGAUUGGAUUGCACGUCUAAGCAGUAAGGCUGAGUAUUAGGCAAAUCCGGUACUCGUUAAGGCUGAGCUGUGAUGGGGAGAAGACAUUGAGUCUUCGAGUCGUUGAUUUCACACUGCCGAGAAAAGCCUCUAGAUAGAAAAUAGGUGCCCGUACCGCAAACCGACACAGGUAGUCAAGAUGAGAAUUCUAAGGUGAGCGAGCGAACUCUCGUUAAGGAACUCGGCAAAAUGACCCCGUAACUUCGGGAGAAGGGGUGCUCUUUAGGGUUAACGCCCAGAAGAGCCGCAGUGAAUAGGCCCAAGCGACUGUUUAUCAAAAACACAGGUCUCUGCUAAACCGUAAGGUGAUGUAUAGGGGCUGACGCCUGCCCGGUGCUGGAAGGUUAAGAGGAGUGGUUAGCUUCUGCGAAGCUACGAAUCGAAGCCCCAGUAAACGGCGGCCGUAACUAUAACGGUCCUAAGGUAGCGAAAUUCCUUGUCGGGUAAGUUCCGACCCGCACGAAAGGCGUAACGAUUUGGGCACUGUCUCAACGAGAGACUCGGUGAAAUCAUAGUACCUGUGAAGAUGCAGGUUACCCGCGACAGGACGGAAAGACCCCGUGGAGCUUUACUGUAGCCUGAUAUUGAAAUUCGGCACAGCUUGUACAGGAUAGGUAGGAGCCUUUGAAACGUGAGCGCUAGCUUACGUGGAGGCGCUGGUGGGAUACUACCCUAGCUGUGUUGGCUUUCUAACCCGCACCACUUAUCGUGGUGGGAGACAGUGUCAGGCGGGCAGUUUGACUGGGGCGGUCGCCUCCUAAAAGGUAACGGAGGCGCUCAAAGGUUCCCUCAGAAUGGUUGGAAAUCAUUCAUAGAGUGUAAAGGCAUAAGGGAGCUUGACUGCGAGACCUACAAGUCGAGCAGGGUCGAAAGACGGACUUAGUGAUCCGGUGGUUCCGCAUGGAAGGGCCAUCGCUCAACGGAUAAAAGCUACCCCGGGGAUAACAGGCUUAUCUCCCCCAAGAGUUCACAUCGACGGGGAGGUUUGGCACCUCGAUGUCGGCUCAUCGCAUCCUGGGGCUGUAGUCGGUCCCAAGGGUUGGGCUGUUCGCCCAUUAAAGCGGUACGCGAGCUGGGUUCAGAACGUCGUGAGACAGUUCGGUCCCUAUCCGUCGUGGGCGUAGGAAAUUUGAGAGGAGCUGUCCUUAGUACGAGAGGACCGGGAUGGACAUACCUCUGGUGUACCAGUUGUCGUGCCAACGGCAUAGCUGGGUAGCUAUGUGUGGACGGGAUAAGUGCUGAAAGCAUCUAAGCAUGAAGCCCCCCUCAAGAUGAGAUUUCCCAACUUCGGUUAUAAGAUCCCUCAAAGAUGAUGAGGUUAAUAGGUUCGAGGUGGAAGCAUGGUGACAUGUGGAGCUGACGAAUACUAAUCGAUCGAAGACUUAAUCAA
This 2719-nucleotide ribosomal RNA is filed under the name Staphylococcus aureus. RNAcentral describes it as "partial 23S ribosomal RNA". It matches the Rfam family "Bacterial large subunit ribosomal RNA". The record is from RNAcentral. Lineage: Bacteria; Bacillati; Bacillota; Bacilli; Caryophanales; Staphylococcaceae.